UGUGUAGGCGGAUUCAUAAGUCAGGUGUGAAAUCCCCGAGCUUAACUUGGGAACUGCGCUUGAAACUGUGAGUCUAGAGCAUGUCAGAGGUAAGCGGAAUUCCCGGAGUAGCGGUGAAAUGCGUAGAUAUCGGGAAGAACACCAGUGGCGAAGGCGGCUUACUGGGACAUAGCUGACGCUGAGGCACGAAAGCGUGGGGAGCGAACG
RNAcentral lists this ribosomal RNA (207 nucleotides) under uncultured bacterium. Its description in RNAcentral is "partial 16S ribosomal RNA". It matches the Rfam family "Bacterial small subunit ribosomal RNA", at positions 568 to 774 of the family's 1533-position model. The record is from RNAcentral.